UGGUAACCAUAGCGUUUUGGACCCACCUGACCCCAUGCCGAACUCAGUAGUGAAACGAAACAGCGCCGAUGAUAGUGUAGCAUUUGC
This 87-nucleotide ribosomal RNA is filed under the name Pseudoalteromonas sp. P1-7a. The record is from RNAcentral. RNAcentral also lists the same sequence under 2 other names. Lineage: Bacteria; Pseudomonadati; Pseudomonadota; Gammaproteobacteria; Alteromonadales; Pseudoalteromonadaceae.